GCCAGGCACAGUGGCACAUGGCUAUGGUCCCAGUUACUUGGUAGGCAUGAGAAGAUCACUUGAUGCUGAUUGGGUGUCUGCACUAAGUUUGGCAUCGUUAUGGUGAACUCCCAGGAGCAGGGAACCACUGGGUUGCCUAAGGUAAGGUGAACCUGCCCAGGUCAGAAAUGGAGCAGGUCAAAACUCCUAUGCUUAUCAAUAGUGGGAUUGUGCCUAUGAAUAGCCACUGUACUCCA
This is an unclassified non-coding RNA of Aotus nancymaae (Ma's night monkey), 236 nucleotides long. It matches the Rfam family "Metazoan signal recognition particle RNA". From Rfam's summary of the family: The signal recognition particle (SRP) is a universally conserved ribonucleoprotein. It is involved in the co-translational targeting of proteins to membranes. Lineage: Eukaryota; Metazoa; Chordata; Mammalia; Primates; Aotidae. The record is from Ensembl.